UCAAAAUUGAAAAACAUGUAUAGGAUUUCAAGACCAUCACUAGAUUCCUAGACCCUUAAAAUAGGGGGGUAGCUCAAAUCAAAACUUCAAAAUUCCUAUUCAUAUGCAAAGUCAACUCAAAAGUCAAAAUAGUCAAACACUUAAUACCUACAAAUAUAUGCACCUUUUCAAAACUUCAAGCCCAUAUUUAGAAUUGGCAACCCUCAAACAAAUCCAAUGGACUUUUCAAAAAUUUCAAAAAAUCUUGUAUGACAAAAGUCAAAACCCUAAACUCCAAGUCAAAGUAGCUAAAUCUUCCAAACUAUAAACUUAUAUAGGAAAAGAAUUAUACCAUUGACAUCCUAGACACCAUAAAUGGGGGGGUAGGUCAAGUCAAAAUCCAAAAAUAAUGAUGCCCGAAAACCGGGGACACCCUUGUAACCCUAAACCCUAAACCCUAAACC
This 443-nucleotide long non-coding RNA is filed under the name Physcomitrium patens. RNAcentral describes it as "long non-coding RNA (PPAT_LNC005628)". Lineage: Eukaryota; Viridiplantae; Streptophyta; Bryopsida; Funariales; Funariaceae. The record is from RNAcentral.